UGGUCAAGUUAUUAAGGGUGCAGGGCGGAUGCCUUGGCACUAGGAGCCGAUGAAGGACGUGAUAAGCUGCGAUAAGCUUCGGGGAGUUGCACGUAAACUUUGAUCCGAAGAUUUCCGAAUGAGGAAACUCACUUAGAGUAAUGUCUAAGUAUCAUUAAGUGAAUACAUCGCUUAAUGAGGGGAACUCAGGGAACUGAAACAUCUAAGUACCGGAAGGAAGAGAAAGAAAUUCGAUUCCGUAAGUAGCGGCGAGCGAACGCGGAUUAGCCCAUACCAAUAAAGUUUUCUUUAUUGGGGUUGCGGACAUAUCAUAACGAAGAGGUAUCGUAAUUGAAGAGGUUUGGAAAGACCCACCACAGAAGGUAAUAGUCCUGUAUGUUAAACGAGAAGACUU
Molecule: ribosomal RNA, 394 nt
Filed under: Clostridioides difficile
Lineage: Bacteria; Bacillati; Bacillota; Clostridia; Peptostreptococcales; Peptostreptococcaceae
Description: bacterial LSU rRNA
Rfam family: Bacterial large subunit ribosomal RNA
Source: RNAcentral